ACAUCUCUUUUUGAGGAAUUUAUAAAGUUUGACCUGCCCACUGAUUAAUUAAAUGGCCGCAGUAUAUUGACUGUGCAAAGGUAGCAUAAUCAUUAGUCUUUUAAUUGAAGGCUGGAAUGAAUGGUUGGACGAAAUAUUGACUGUUUCAUUUAAAUUUAUAAUAGAAUUUUAUUUUUUAGUAAAAAAGCUAAAAUAAUAUUAAAAGACGAGAAGACCCUAUAAAUCUUUAUAUUUUUUUUAUAUAAAUUUUAUAGAAGUAUUUUAUUUAUAUAAAUUAUAAUAUUUUAUUGGGGUGAUAUUAAAAUUUAAUUAACUUUUAUAAAAAAUUACAUUAAUUAAUGAUUUGUUGAUCCAUUAAUAAUGAUUAAUAGAAUAAGUUACUUUAGGGAUAACAGCGUAAUUUUUUUGGAGAGUUCAUAUCGAUAAAAAAGAUUGCGACCUCGAUGUUGGAUUAAGGAAUAAAAUUAGGUGUAGAAAUUUAAUAUUUAAGUCUGUUCGACUUUUAAAUUC
This 510-nucleotide ribosomal RNA is filed under the name Ornithoica sp. 1 ES-2018. RNAcentral's name for it is "partial 16S ribosomal RNA". The stretch from base 388 to 510 matches the Rfam family "Bacterial large subunit ribosomal RNA", at positions 2473 to 2595 of the family's 2925-position model. Lineage: Eukaryota; Metazoa; Arthropoda; Insecta; Diptera; Hippoboscidae. The record is from RNAcentral.